CUGACUGACUUUGCCCAUAGUAAUGUAAAUGAUUUGUUAUUUUGUCCCAUACAAAUGAAUAUAUAUAAUUUAGGGGUAGGGAUCUCAACGGUUUUCAAGUUCUCCAACAGGUAGGGGUAGGCAGAGGAUUUAGGGGGCAGGGGGCCCGCCCCCCUUUUGGGGAAAAAAUUUGGUUGCUUAUAUAGGUAAUCACUGAAGCAUGACUGGAGCGGGCCCCUCUUAGGUCAGUCAGUGGGCCCCACUUAUGAAUAUUUCUGGAUCCGCCACUGGGGGUAGGGUGACCCUAGGGACUUCCC
Molecule: long non-coding RNA, 296 nt
Filed under: Mytilus galloprovincialis (Mediterranean mussel)
Lineage: Eukaryota; Metazoa; Mollusca; Bivalvia; Mytilida; Mytilidae
Source: RNAcentral